Doryrhamphus excisus (bluestripe pipefish) is the source of this 429-nucleotide non-coding RNA. The record is from RefSeq and is a predicted model, not a curated record. Lineage: Eukaryota; Metazoa; Chordata; Actinopteri; Syngnathiformes; Syngnathidae.
GUUCGGGCUGGUUUAUGUUGCAGAUGCCUGCCAAAAUACCCGCUUAUUUUUACGAGGAUACAUUCCCUCUUGACAGCUUUGCUUGGAAAAACACACAGACCCAAGCAAACCAGGCGGCCAUUGCAGUUUUGGAGUUUGGAGCAAAAGGAUGGAAUCAAGCUUUGACCCGUUUCACAUCUUCAGGACGACGGUCCGGGAGGCGGCAGAACCCAGAACCCAGAAGCCAGACUUCCUGGUCUGCAGCCACUUCUUCCAGCUCUAUGGAGAAGACACGGCAUGACCUGCCUCCAGCGUGUCCGAGGUCUGCCUCCUGCCAGGAAGGAACACCUCACCAGGAAAAAGCCCAGGAUUAGAUUCCUUCGCCGCCUCGACUCUUACCAAGUGUAUCAUGAAGCUACUUUUAAAGAGCAGACACUAAAGGACAUGAAA